This is an RNA transcript of Rhineura floridana, 1728 nucleotides long. It is a transcript of the gene named storkhead-box protein 1-like, with no coding region annotated. The record is from RefSeq and is a predicted model, not a curated record. Lineage: Eukaryota; Metazoa; Chordata; Lepidosauria; Squamata; Rhineuridae. The transcript is spliced from 3 exons.
AACCUGGCAAAGGGAGGCUGCGCGCGUUCUCCAAAAGCGGCCCAGCUCACGCCCCCUGUCAUGGAGCAGGAGGGCCCUUGAGGAGCUCGGGCAGGGGAGAGGGCCGACCGCCGAGGGCGGUGCCACAGAGGGACCCUUGGCCGGGAGGCGGGCCGGGCGCACACGUGCAGCGGAGGGAAGGCGGAGAAUCGCUGAACCUGCCACUGGCCCGGCGGGGCGGUCCUGGCUGAGCUGCUGCACUGUACAGUGGUCGAACGCUCAUGGCUGGGCAGCAUGCUGCUACUGUUGCUUCUGCACACAGCGUCUCCCUUUAAGUAUCCUCCGGCGCAGCGAUGCCUCGCAGGAUGGAGAAGUUCUUGCAAAUUGCUCCGCACUCCUUGGCCAUCGUCCUGAGCUCCUGCGGCGGGGAGAAGGCAGCCUCGCAGCCGGCCAGGCAACUAAGAGAGGAGCUGCAGGAGGACUGCGCUGAGGAGCUGCAGGAGGACGGGGAAGGUGAGGGCAAGCGGCAGCGACCAGCCGGGGGAGGGCCGGGACCGCCACCCGCCGCCGAUUCGCUGGAGCGCCACCACAUCGGCUACGAGAUAUUCGCUGACUUCAAGCAGGAGAAUAUGCAGCAUUUCUGGAACAAGAAAGUGACAGCGGCGGUGGCCGAGACCUUCUUCCUGGGCUGGAUCGACGAGCAGGUGCUGCUGAUCCAGGGCAAGGAGGAGCACCUGGAGGUGCUGCGCGAGGGCUGGAUGCGCAGGUCCCUCAAGCCCCCCGCGGGCUUUCGAAUCAAGUGCCUGGAAUCUGGUGUUUGCUGCUGUUCUGUUCUCUGAAUGGAUUUAGCUGCGACAUAUAUUAUGCGGAUUGACACUCUCCAUUUCACAAUGAGCUCAUGGGUGUUCUCUUCCUUUAAGCCAUAUUUUGCAACUUUUCACUUGUCUUUUACAUAGAAUUGAAGGGACCUUGGAAGUCAUCUAAUCCAGCCCCCUUGUUCAGUGCAGGAUCUGCAACGAAGGUUGCAGCUACAGCCUUUGCUUAAAUAUCUCCAGGGAAAUUUAUUAGUUAUGUAAGUACAGUAUACAGAAAAAUGAUAAAAGUCUCCCCAGCAGCAUAUUAAAGGAUUUGGAACUAUUCUACCAUACGAAAUUUUGGCAAUCAGAGUCAUUCCGAACAGUAACCAGUAGAAAAAAUGGGGGAGGGGGAAGAGAGUUAUCACAGUAAAGAAAUGAUUUAGUAUGCAUGAAAAUAUUAUACCUUACCUGGAAAAUGUAAUUUGUAAAGUAAAGUGGAGAAUACUGCUUCUAUUUUUUGUUAUGAAGUUUAAAUCUUAAUUUUGUCAUUUAUUCUAUUGUAUGGAAGCAUGAAUGAAUGAAUGAAAGAUUUUUUUAAAAAAGCUCUCAUAUAGUUCUCCCUGCCCAGCUGCACAUGACUGAGGCCUAUUCUGCAAAGUGAACCCAAAGUUAUGGUUAGGAUUAUUUUGCUAAUUCCCUCACACCACAGAAAUGCACAUUGUUACUGACCUUUCCCCACUGUUAAUAGAUAUGAUGAAUUAUUGCUGAACUAUUCCCCACUGAAGUAUUCAAAUAUGUAUAUUUUGAUUCUGUGUCUCUGUGUGCUCAAUAAAUAUCCCCAUUAAAAAAAAAAGGUAUUGUCAGAUGCUCAGCACCAUACCACUGCCCCGUUUGUCUUUAGUUUUCCCUUAAUGGAACUUUUGUUUCCUUUUCAUGUGAACCGAUUUUUUAG